CCUGAUCAGCCAUGCCGCGUGUGUGAAGAAGGCCCUCGGGUUGUAAAGCACUUUCAGCGAGGAAGAACGCCUAGCGGUUAAUACCCGCUAGGAAAGACAUCACUCGCAGAAGAAGCACCGGCUAACUCCGUGCCAGCAGCCGCGGUAAUACGGAGGGUGCAAGCGUUAAUCGGAAUUACUGGGCGUAAAGCGCGCGUAGGUGGCUUGAUAAGCCGGUUGUGAAAGCCCCGGGCUCAACCUGGGAACGGCAUCCGGAACUGUCAAGCUAGAGUGCAGGAGAGGAAGGUAGAAUUCCCGGUGUAGCGGUGAAAUGCGUAGAGAUCGGGAGGAAUACCAGUGGCGAAGGCGGCCUUCUGGACUGACACUGACACUGAGGUGCGAAAGCGUGGGUAGCAAACAGGAUUAGAUACCCUGGUAGUCCACGCCGUAAACGAUGUCGACCAGCCGUUGGGUGCCUAGCGCACUUUGUGGCGAAGUUAACGCGAUAAGUCGACCGCCUGGGGAGUACGGCCGCAAGGUUAAAACUCAAAUGA
This 533-nucleotide ribosomal RNA is filed under the name Halomonas sp. RNAcentral describes it as "bacterial SSU rRNA". It matches the Rfam family "Bacterial small subunit ribosomal RNA", at positions 382 to 908 of the family's 1533-position model. The record is from RNAcentral. Lineage: Bacteria; Pseudomonadati; Pseudomonadota; Gammaproteobacteria; Oceanospirillales; Halomonadaceae.